Malus domestica (apple) is the source of this 1431-nucleotide non-coding RNA. The record is from RefSeq and is a predicted model, not a curated record. NCBI's taxonomy places the organism in Eukaryota, Viridiplantae, Streptophyta, Magnoliopsida, Rosales, Rosaceae.
CGUUGGCAGAAAACAAACCGUCAUUGAGUCAUCCCUCUCAAUCUCAAUCGAAUCCUGGGGUGUAGGGUUUCGAAGCUGAACAAAAGUACAAUCGAGAGGUAAAGGGCGUGGCAUUGAUUCAAAUCUGAAAUCUCCGGCCAUGGCAGACAAUCAGUGGCGCCGUAAUGCUCUCCGGUCCCAUGCAGAGGGUGUCCGGUUCCAUAUGGAGGCUAUCCGGUCCUAUUUAAGGGCUUCCCGGACCGAGCCCGCUCACCACAAGGUGACCGAGGACCACAUCCUGGCGGCCAUUCUGCUCCCGUUCCCGGAGAACGAAACAACAACACCGGCAGUUUUGGACGAAGCCUGGAACGCCGAUGAUCCAAGCGAAGAUGACACGAGCGAGUGCUCAGAUGCUGACAUGGGCACGGGCGAACAUGAUCAUCCACUACAUGAACCACUAGUUCCAAGCGAACGAGGCCCAUUCACUGAAAAAUUCUCACCAGAAACUAACGGUAAUUAAUAUUUAUUUUUUUAUUUUGAAAAAGAUUAGUAUUAUUCUGUAUCUCCAUUGUUUUGUACAGUGGAAUGGUUGCAAGCUGCUUGGCCGAGGGUUCAAUUGGCUUUUGAGCGCUUUGGCUUUCAGGCCAAAAUGGAUCUGGACAAGAGUUGCGUAACAGCCGUCGCAAUUGGGGAUGAUCAUACUAAGUUCCCAUUUUCUGCAUCGCAUUUUGUUUAACUUUUGACAAAAACAAAUCUGCCACCUUCUUUGGUACUUCAAUUACCAUUUCUCAUCUGACUUGUUAGCCCGCGAGCCUUUUGUUUCAAUAGUUUUCUGAUACGUCAACCCAUGGUUCUGAUUUCGGGCAAUCGAAAUAGUGACUGGCCUUAGGUUACAUAUCCAUUACCAGAUUGGGUUUGGAUCCUCUUAUGGCUCCUUGGUGAACAAUGAGGAAUUUGAGAAGCGGCGCCAACUUCUCGUGGCCUCUCAAAAGCACAUUUACGAGCUGUCUCGCUGUACCAUUUAUGUUACAGAAUGCUCUUUCACUGCCGUGGGGGAUUAUAUUCAGCCUUUAAAGGCAGUCGAUGAACUUAUGUCACUCUGCUUGAACUCAGGUUACCAUCCUGCCUACAUCAUUAAGCACCUUGAACCCGGUUUAAAUGAUAAGUUUGGGCCUUUCCUUACUAAACUAUGGAACAACAAAUUUGACAACCCCGACAAGUGGUAGGACAUCUCCUGGUCUAAGUCCCUUCCUAUCUCUGAGGAUAUUGCAAAUAGCCUAGAUAUGUACAGGCCGCAGUUGGAAUCGUCUUUGGAAGAGCAAGGAAUAACCUGGACAGUAGACGUGGACAACAAAUCCACGACGGUUUCAGUAAUCGGUGGGGACCAACGUAUUAUUGACAAGGCUUCUCAAAUUCUUGAACUCAUGGCCAAGAGCACUGCGGACCAGGAAG